RNAcentral lists this ribosomal RNA (627 nucleotides) under Thanatephorus sp. CBS 212.84. RNAcentral's name for it is "eukaryotic LSU rRNA". The stretch from base 205 to 358 matches the Rfam family "5.8S ribosomal RNA". The record is from RNAcentral. Lineage: Eukaryota; Fungi; Basidiomycota; Agaricomycetes; Cantharellales; Ceratobasidiaceae.
GGGGAUUUUGGUUGUAGCUGGCUCAUGAAUUGGGCAUGUGCACACCUAUCUCUUUCAUCCACACACACCUGUGCACUUGUGAGGCAGAUGGGGAAUUUUAUUGAUUGUUUUUUAAGAACAAUUGGUGCUGGCCCCUCUGUCUACUCAAUAUAUAAACUCAAUUUAUUUAGAAAUGAAUGUAAUGGAUGUAACGCAUCUAAUACUAAGUUUCAACAACGGAUCUCUUGGCUCUCGCAUCGAUGAAGAACGCAGCGAAAUGCGAUAAGUAAUGUGAAUUGCAGAAUUCAGUGAAUCAUCGAAUCUUUGAACGCACCUUGCGCUCCUUGGUAUUCCUUGGAGCAUGCCUGUUUGAGUAUCAUGAAAUCUUCAAAGUAAAUCUUUUGUUAACUCAAUUGGUCCUACUUUGGUAUUGGAGGUCUUUGCAGCUUCACACCUGCUCCUCUUUGUUCAUUAGCUGGAUCUCAGUGUUAUGCUUGGUUCCACUCAGCGUGAUAAGUUAUCUAUCGCUGAGGACACUGUAACAGGUGGCCAAGGGAAAUGCAGAUGAACCGCUUCUAAUAGUCCAUUGACUUGGACACUAUUUUUAUGAUCUGUCUCAAACAGGGAGGACCAACCGGCUGACCUAAG